AUGGAGAAAGUCAAAGAACCCAAAGCAAAUUGGGACAGUGCUGCUCAUACAAUUUUUAUGAAUGCAUGCGUAGAGGAGGUUCGAGCAAAUAACCGCAACGGUGGUUAUUUGUCGGAUAUAGGACAAGCUAAUUUGCAUAAAAAGUUCAAUGUACUCUCUGGAAGAAACUAUUCGACCCAGCAAAUCAAAAAUAGGUGGGGUGUAUGUAGAAGCAAGUACAACACAAGGAAGACAUUGAUCCAGCAAGCAUCUGGCUAUGGAAGAGAUGAGCAUACACACACUAUUGCAUCUACAAAUGAGUGGUGGGCAUUGGAGAUAAAGGCACAUCCAGAAGCUGCCAAGUUUCGCUAUGCUCCACUUGAAGGAAAUAUGACCUAG
This 378-nucleotide ribosomal RNA is filed under the name Triticum aestivum (bread wheat). RNAcentral describes it as "partial small subunit ribosomal RNA". The record is from RNAcentral. Lineage: Eukaryota; Viridiplantae; Streptophyta; Magnoliopsida; Poales; Poaceae.